RNAcentral lists this ribosomal RNA (450 nucleotides) under uncultured bacterium. RNAcentral describes it as "partial 16S ribosomal RNA". It matches the Rfam family "Bacterial small subunit ribosomal RNA", at positions 354 to 796 of the family's 1533-position model. The record is from RNAcentral.
GUGGGGAAUAUUCCGCAAUGGACGAAAGUCUGACGGAGCAACGCCGCGUGAGUGAUGAAGGUUUUCGGAUCGUAAAGCUCUUUCGUUAGGGACGAACGUGCUCUUUGUGAAUAAUGAGGAGUAAUGACGGUACCUAAAUAAGAAGCCACGGCUAACUACGUGCCAGCAGCCGCGGUAAUACGUAGGUGGCAAGCGUUGUCCGGAAUUAUUGGGCGUAAAGCGCGCGCAGGCGGGAUAUCAAGUCUGUCUUAAAAGUGCGAGGCUCAACCUCGUGAGGGGACAGAAACUGGUAUUCUUGAGUGUCGGAGAGGAAAGUGGAAUUCCAAGUGUAGCGGUGAAAUGCGUAGAGAUUUGGAAGAACACCAGUGGCGAAGGCGACUUUCUGGACGAUGUCUGACGCUGAGGCGCGAAAGCUAGGGGAGCGAACGGGAUUAGAAACCCCUGUAGUCC